This 131-nucleotide small RNA is filed under the name Klebsiella pasteurii. Its description in RNAcentral is "RtT sRNA". It matches the Rfam family "RtT RNA". From Rfam's summary of the family: This family represents a bacterial cis-regulatory element known as RtT RNA. The exact function of RtT is unknown although it is thought that it may be involved in changing the cellular response in relation to amino acid starvation. The record is from RNAcentral. Lineage: Bacteria; Pseudomonadati; Pseudomonadota; Gammaproteobacteria; Enterobacterales; Enterobacteriaceae.
UAUUCAUCCCAUGCGGGAAGGAUGAGAAGCUUCGACUAAGGUUCGAUUCGAGCGAAGCAAGAAAGCGUUGCCGCAGGCAACGACCCGAAGGGCGAGGCGCAACGCGCCGAGUAAUCCUUCCCCCACCCUCA